GAGGUCGAGCGGGGGGCUGUGGAGGCCGGGCUACAGAGGCAGGGAGAGGCGCGCGCCACACCCGCGGCUUAAUAGGCUGAGGAGGGGAUGCGUGUGGAAAAAAAAAAACCGGUCGCGCGCGGAGGGGAGGGGAGGGGAGGAGGAGAGGGAGGUAACCGCGGGGGAACGAUUUUAACCGAGUGGCCCGAUUCAUGGUAGCAGGCAGCACGCGCGCUCGCGCCGACGGCUUCGACCUGGCGCCCGCGCCGCCCCCGGCCUCGGCCCCGCUCCCGCUCCCGCUGCUGCCGCCAGUACCCCAGGCAGUGGACCGCGUUCCGGAUGCCGCGGGAGUUCCUGAGGUGGUUCCAACCGGAGCGGUUGAAGUUGUCGCUCAUGUUCCUAAACCUAUAGCGGUAGCACUUCCGCUGCUUGGUGCACCUCACGGGCGGGUUCCUCGCCGUGAAGUCCUCCUAUUACAAACGUUUGAGCCGUUUAGCGGGCGCCCGGCUGCAGCGGAUGAGGUAUACACGUAACCGGUCCUCUAACAGGUUCUGGUUCUUAACCUAUCAACGUGAAUUUUGUGACUAUCACUAUGUAUCCAAUGACUCUCUUCCACUGCCCAGUAAGUUUCUACUGAAGGACUCGAUAAGUAUGUCUCCUUUGUAAAACGUCGAAGGUUUAAAGUCCCUACUGAGCUCGGGUAAUCGUACCCUAAGGAGACGAACCCAAGCGGACAUACGUAAGAUGGAUGUACUUGCACAGCUUACGAAAUCCCAAGAUUUUAUGCUGCAGCUUCGGCUAGCAGACCACUUUCAUGGUGUCCGAAGACCGUUCCGUGUGUCAUCUUGUUCUUGGGAAGGUACACUUCUAGAAAAUCUAGUCAACGGACGUAACGUCUUCGAUGAUGAGGCUGAAUAAAGAACGGUCGGACUUCCAUGCCGGACGUGUUUAGUGGAACAUGUUAUACGUAAUCGGGAACAAAACUUCCUCUCGAAGUUUUAUAUGACAAGCUAUUUACUGCCGUAGUAGUUAGAACAACUAUACAUAAAACUAUACCGUUUUUACCUACGAUAGUUCCGGGAACUUUAAAUAUUUUCUCGACCGGUCGUCCGUCUUUUCGAAAGACGCAUAAUACUGAUGACGUUUUUAGAACUCGAGCGGUUCUGAAAGGUCAAAGGAUGAAACUCCGUCGGUGGAAGAAGUAAGGAACAUUGAUACCUUCUCAUGUAGUCUCUUCGUGGGUCACAGUCGUAGUGCUCUCACUCAAGUGGAUCACUGGUACUUCUACUUCGAGGUGUCCUUUGGCUCUUUGGACAACUUGUCCUCUUUCUUCUCGGUCGUCUUCGACGUGGGCUUCUUCUCGGUGUUAUAUGGUGAGAGAGUCUUCUUCUACUUGGGGGUGGUAACGCCGGUUGGUUGUUACCCCUAGAUAAUUUGAACCUACUUCUUAACGUGGGGUACUAACGUUUGGAACUUGUUUCGUUGCGUGAGCGAGAACGGUAGCACCUUGGUCCCUCACUCUUGUUACGGAGCCGGGGAGAUCUGAACAAACGGUAACUGUUUCGACCCACCCUUAACCGUGACCAGUGACGGGUCUCAUUGGUGUGUUCGGUUGGUCGACAGUCGGGUCACGUCGGGCCUCCCAAGCUGUUCGACGACGACCUGUCGGAUAUGCUUCUGCUGUGUUCCUCCGUCGUUUAGCGGUCACACUGGAUGCGGCCGCCGCAGUGCCACUUGGGUAAACUGGGGUUGCUGGGCAAGCGGUACAGGUUGUCGAAGCGCGGCGGUAGCUUACACGUCAAGCGGUACUACCCCGUCGUCGUCGUCAUGAUGGUCCGUGUCGUCGUACCGAUGAAGGUCUACGUCGUCGUUGUUGUGGUGGUUUACCACCGCUACGGCGGUGUCUGUAUGGUCGUCGUCGUCCGAGUCAUGCGGCACUUACGGCCUAAUAGGUUGGGCAAACCUCUAGGCAAGUCGCGAGAGCAGUGCUGCCGCUUAGGCGGUUUCGUUUUGUUAGUCUAAAUCGGACUUAACGCGCUAGAAACGACAUAGAAUGAGAUUAAAGCCAGUCAGCAUAUGGGUGGGGAGAAGAUUAAGACUCCUCGUUGAACAUAUCAGACUUGAAACGACCAUGACAUUUGGAAUACCUUUAACACAUUGUACAAACCCUUUACUAUGUUAGCAAACUUACGGUA
RNAcentral lists this ribosomal RNA (2174 nucleotides) under Triticum aestivum (bread wheat). RNAcentral's name for it is "partial small subunit ribosomal RNA". The record is from RNAcentral. Lineage: Eukaryota; Viridiplantae; Streptophyta; Magnoliopsida; Poales; Poaceae.